UCCCUUCCGGCUAUCUUGUGCAAGUAC
RNAcentral lists this small RNA (27 nucleotides) under Bombyx mori (domestic silkworm). Its description in RNAcentral is "ovarian small RNA-7316". Lineage: Eukaryota; Metazoa; Arthropoda; Insecta; Lepidoptera; Bombycidae. The record is from RNAcentral.